GGGUCAGUAGGUUGGUCGUGCCACCGGUACGUACUGGUCUCACUGAUUCCUCCUUCCUGAAGAACUGUAAUGCCAUUAAUUUGGUGUUGCGGGGAAACAGGACUGUUACUUUGAAAAAAUUAGAGUGUUUAAAGCAAGCUAACGCUUGAAUACAUUAGCAUGGAAUAAUGAAAUAGGACGAUCGAUCCUAUUUUGUUGGUCUCUAGGAUUGACGUA
Molecule: ribosomal RNA, 216 nt
Filed under: Glomeromycotina sp.
Lineage: Eukaryota; Fungi; Glomeromycota
Description: partial small subunit ribosomal RNA
Rfam family: Eukaryotic small subunit ribosomal RNA (bases 40-216)
Source: RNAcentral